GAUGAACGCUGGCGGCGUGCCUAAUACAUGCAAGUCGAGCGAACGGACGAGAAGCUUGCUUCUCUGAUGUUAGCGGCGGACGGGUGAGUAACACGUGGAUAACCUAGCUAUAAGACUGGGAUCACUUCGGGAAACCGGAGCUAAUACCGGAUAAUAUUUUGAACCGCAUGGUUCAACAGUGAAAGACGGUCUUGCUGUCACUUAUAGAUGGAUCCGCGCUGCAUUAGCUAGUUGGUAAGGUAACGGCUUACCAAGGCAACGAUGCAUAGCCGACCUGAGAGGGUGAUCGGCCACACUGGAACUGAGACACGGUCCAGACUCCUACGGGAGGCAGCAGUAGGGAAUCUUCCGCAAUGGGCGAAAGCCUGACGGAGCAACGCCGCGUGAGUGAUGAAGGUCUUCGGAUCGUAAAACUCUGUUAUUAGGGAAGAACAUAUGUGUAAGUAACUGGGCACAUCUUGACGGUACCUAAUCAGAAAGCCACGGCUAACUACGUG
This 497-nucleotide ribosomal RNA is filed under the name uncultured bacterium. RNAcentral describes it as "partial 16S ribosomal RNA". It matches the Rfam family "Bacterial small subunit ribosomal RNA", at positions 28 to 507 of the family's 1533-position model. The record is from RNAcentral.